This 253-nucleotide ribosomal RNA is filed under the name uncultured bacterium. RNAcentral's name for it is "partial 16S ribosomal RNA". It matches the Rfam family "Bacterial small subunit ribosomal RNA", at positions 524 to 776 of the family's 1533-position model. The record is from RNAcentral.
UACAGGGGGGGCAAGCGUUGUUCGGAAUUACUGGGCGUAAAGGGUUCGUAGGUGGCCAACUAAGUCAGACGUGAAAUCCCUCAGCUUAACUGGGGAACUGCGUCUGAUACUGGAUGGCUUGAGUGUAGGAGAGGAAUGCGGAAUUCCAGGUGUAGCGGUGAAAUGCGUAGAUAUCUGGAGGAACACCGGUGGCGAAGGCGGCAUCCUGGACCGGUAUUGACGCUGAGGCGCGAAAGCCAGGGGAGCAAACGGG